Molecule: ribosomal RNA, 82 nt
Filed under: Actinomycetota bacterium
Lineage: Bacteria; Bacillati; Actinomycetota
Description: partial 23S ribosomal RNA
Rfam family: Bacterial large subunit ribosomal RNA
Source: RNAcentral
GACCACCACGUCGAUAGGCGGGACGUGCAAGCGCAGCAAUGCGUUCAGCGAACCCGUACUAAUUGCCCGAGGUCUUGACUUU